Molecule: non-coding RNA, 6826 nt
Organism: Peromyscus maniculatus bairdii (prairie deer mouse)
Lineage: Eukaryota; Metazoa; Chordata; Mammalia; Rodentia; Cricetidae
Source: RefSeq, a predicted model, not a curated record
AGAUGUGUCGGGAUGUGACUGAUAGGUCUAUUAAAAUCAUGCGUGUGGGAGAAGAAUAACACUCAUAUUCACGCAUUUCAUUUUCCCCGACAAAGACUGGGCACUGCCGAGCUCUGUCUCCGGAAAAUUCCAGUCAGUUCGAGAAGCCCUCCUAGCACUCGUGCCCUGGGGACGCAGGAAAGCAAGCUCUGUCCAGCCGGGGUCGAGCUCCGCUGGCUGGGGCCCCGGGUGCUCUUCUGGUCACGCCCUCUCCCCCACCCAGCUUCCGCAGCGGGUGUCCGGGAGCCCAGCGGUGGAAUCCAACCCUAGACUCUGCCCGCUCUUCACAUCAUCUCGUUGGGAGCUGUGGGUGAGGUGGUGUUGAAAAGAAUACGUUAUUACUGCCGCUUUGCCGCCAGACCUGGUUCUCUACACGGGAUGCUGCAAACAUCCGCUGUCAGCGUGUGCAAGGCUGUGAUUCCAGAGGAGAGACCCAAAGCCUCCUGGGCGUGUGUGAAGAGUGUUUAGCGGGAGGCAGGAGGCAGGGCCCCUGAAAGCCAAGCCGAUGAGCGAGAACCCUGUGCUGAGUAAAUGUGGGCUCCUGAAGGUGCAGAGACAGUGGACAGUGGACAAGACAACUAGCAGUCCCACUGAGUGGUGAAGAUGUCUCAGAGAUGCAUACAAAACACAUACAGGGAUGAGCUGGACGCUAGUCAGACCUGUGAGUUAACUUCCUGUAGCUGAGAGAGGAAAGCUAAUGGAUCGGAUCGAGGGACCACAUCACCCCAUUGGCUCUGGAGAUCUAAGUCAAAAUCAAAAGCCAACCUCGGGCCCAGCGAUACAUGGAAUAGAAACAUGCCCCAGGCUUGUUGGAAUACAGAGGAAAGGUGUGUGCCCAUGGAGAUCCUCCUGACUUGUUACUGAGAGCCGAGGCGAGGUGCUGCCGAACACGUCCCCGAGUCGAACUUCGCCAUAAAAAAGUAAACUUUGAACGUCAAGGUGGGUGGCACGCGUUGGGAUGUUCAAACAGCUCCGUGUCGUCUCGGUGGAGUGAGCACACACCGUCUGGGCCCUCGGAGUCAUUUUACUUUUCUGAACACUGCGUGCACCGUUCUAGAGCCUGGUUUUGCUGCACAAAGAGGAGCCCUGGCUAGAUGAGCAACCACCCAGAAUGCAGAGGGAAGCUUUCACUCGUCUGGAGUGCGGGAGAAUGAGCCACGGCCUGUGAGGCGCAUGGAGAUACUUGUCUGAAGGAGUUGACUCUUAGAAACCACAGCACAGAGGCCUGAAGCAGGGAGACACACAGCUGCUGUGGCUGUUCCCCUGCGGGCACCUCCGUCUCUGGAGUCACCAAGACCAGCACAGAGUCUUGGAAGUUGGAGUGCUACCUCCCUGCUCCUCUGAAGAGAGGCCUAGGACACCUGUUGCUGAGGGGCCAGAGUGGCCGGGCCCCUGCUGGGCCGGUGUAGAAGGAGUGAGGUGGUCAGUGGUGUUUCCUCUCUGGAGCCUUCAGGCUAGAUUGGGAGUUCUGUGCGGCUUCAGCCACAGCUCUCUGCUCAAGCCGAGAUGCGCUUCAACUGCUAGGCCUAAGGCACACGUGGCCGCUGGAGCUCAGCUCAGCAACUGAGACUGAAGGACCCUCCAGAGCCCCCAGAAGACCCCCGCCCGGGGAGUGACAUCAGUUGGGGAGCUAUUAAUAACUGCCCUCCCUCCCUGUCAUAUUUCCUGAACUGUGUGGGGAAGGCGAUUGUGAGGCGCUCUGCUGGAAUUUGGCAGCGCGGAGGCUUGGAGAGCAGCCCCAUGCUGGCUCCUAUUCAGCCGGCCAGUUUUCCUCGAGCUUUGGAAGUUUCGCUCAGCCGUGCACUCAAAGGCUUCACAAAGCUGAUUACAAGCUUCAGCGCAUUCCUGAAGGAGCCAAAAGCGACGCAGGUGCAAACGAGCCGAGGGAGCCCCUUAUCCCGGUGACAGAAUGGGACAAGCUGGGAAAGGCUUGGACCACACAAAUCCAAGGCUCACCAGGCAGCAGAGAGCCUGCCUUGGGAACCGGGGGUCAUUAUCCGCCCUAUUCAGCGGGGCCGGGGACCCCGGGGCCGGGUAGGCCGGUCGGGCGGCAAGCACCACCGCCAGUGUGCGCCUACGGCAGUGGGGACCCCGCUGGGCGCUGCAGCCCAUCGGGAUGUUGGGCGCUGUGUUUGUUCUCACCGACAGCGGUCCGUGAAAUCUAUCUUGUUCCUGAAAGCUGGUGUCCACGAUAAGGGGGUACAGGAGAACCAGGGUGGCGAAGAUGCGCUGUUGAGAGCGCACUGGCCUGUGCCUGCCGCAGGCCGCUCUCAGCUCCCCCUCCCCCCCGCGCGCCCCAAGUCUUGUAACCCCCAUCCCCUCGCCCUCAGCUCUUCGUUUUUCCUCUCUGCAAAUCCUACGGAGAGCGGGCUGCACAAAGUGCGGUGGGGAGGGACAGUGGCCCGGAAGGGGUGGAUCACCAGGUGGUCCGGUGCACCUAGCCGGGCAGUGGAGAACGCGGAGCCACGUCUAGGGGCAAUUAAAUCACAUCCCUGCUAGCAACGAAAGAACUACCGACCGCGUUGACAGGCUGGCUCGGCGCGUAGAGCUUGCAGAAGGGACGAGCGUGGGACGGACUGAAGUGGGACCGCUGGAGUUCAGGGGCGGGCUAAUCCGACCCUGUGGGCAGCCCCUUCCCACCGCAUCCAGUCUCCAUCGCAGUCACUUAUCUGGAAACCUGCGGCUGGAUUAAUCGCUAUAUUCCCAAGAUGAGCGGUGCGGCAAUCCGCAGUGUAAAACGGGUGGGAACUCGAAAGCAUCAUCCCCCAGGCUCUCCCGGGGCCAGCAGUCGGCCAGCUCCCUGCAGAUCUGAACGCGGCACCGUUGCUAGCACCUGUUUGGACUCGGGUGGGGAUGAGCAGGCACAGAGCCGCACAGAGGAUGUGGGGGAGGAGAAGGAGACAGACCUGUGGGGACCCCGGCCUGCGAGAGGCACAAAACUGCCUGUGGGAAUAAAGCCUUUUGACCUGACAGAAAUGAUGCUGUAGACGCUUCAGACCGUGGCCUAUUUAGAUGCAGAAAAAUGCUCCCUCCCAUCUUGAUCUUCCAACCUCACCCCUACUCCACCCGCCGCUCCGCCUUAGGCCCCUCCCCUGGAAUUUCCUCUUUCAGAGUCCUGCUUCUCUAAGCAAAGCACUGGCAAUAUUUAGGAACUGUGGGCGUGGAAAUAAAUGCUUGUUUUCCAGCCCCUCAUCCUACCUACUGGAGUUGAAGGUGGUGGGCUGUGGUAUCAAAGCUCCAGAGAGGAAGCAUGUGCCUACAAAAACUUUCUCAGCUGAGGUCAAAACAUCAGCUCCGCGGGAAAAAUCAUUUUGGUGCCCGAGGUGCUGCCCCGGGGGGACUUCUCUGGAGGUGUCAAAACUCAUUGCCGGUUUGUGAAAACCAGCACUGCUUCUGGUCUGGCUGGUUAGUCACUUGGAGGUAAACCCUCUGCUGUGGAGUAUUUUUACAUCUCGGCUUUGCCGCCCCGCCCCCACCCCCACCUUUUUUUUCAAGAUGUCAUUUCAGGAGAAGAGGAAAUUCCAUUUCACACUGUGACAGCCUUGGCCUCCCAUUUCGGCGGCAUAGUAAGUUCCACAUGGAACAUACGUUCCAAGAGUGAACACCCAUUGGUCCGUCACGUUUUUAGAUUGUUAGAGACGAAGGGGUACCCCGGGAUGCUCCCCCAACUGGGCCCUGCAAGAUCCUCUUAAAAGUCAGUGUUCCCCUCCACCAACAGUGGGAGGAAAUCUUCAGAAGCCACCAUGUGACUCCCUGCAAACCAGCUCAAGCCGAGGUUCCCAGGACAGCUCCUCCUCAUGCCCUUUGGACGUCAACCCACUGUGGCUCUCACCUGAGUCCUGUCACCUCUGCCAUCUCGAAGUGAUCUGUGGACAAUGCUGAGCAGGACAGCCCCUGGUCAACCAGGCAGAACCGUCUAUGCAAAUGUUGGAGGCCUGCCCUGGGAACAGUGCGCCCAUUGUCCAGGGCCUUUCAGAGCCGGCAGCAGCUGCUCAGACUCGCCGCCCCAGACCCGUGGCUGCCACAGUCAUGUCAUCCUUGCAAGACAUCAGACUCUGAAAAUUAUACGACCCGAAUUCAUGAACAGCCUUCUCUUGAGUGUUUCUGUCUGUGACAAGUUGCAAAGUCCAAAGCUGCUUCUGUUGCUGGGGACAGGAGGAGGGUGUGGGCAGGAGCAAGUCUGCGCUUGCUUCUUACUAGAGGACUUGAAAACUUUGCAAACUGUCCCUGGGCUUCUGAAGGGGGGACGGAGCGGGGGGGGGGGUGUCUGGCUCCAACAACUGAGAAUGUGAGGCUUUUCUGUUUUCUCUUGCUGCUAUUGCAAGUUUAGAUGCGUGGAGAGGAGUCAGGAUGAGGAGAUGGAGCAGGCCUGCCUGCCUGCCACAGGUGCUGACCUCUUUUUUAUUAGCUUGGACUCCAAGCUGUACUUUCUAGAGAAGCAAGCAGGCUGACUGACUGGCUCAACACUCUCAAACCACCUCAACUCUGAGUCCCUUCAGAGGGGGACUCGGGGGCUCAUGUAGUUCACAUCCAUCCAUCCUCUCUCCCUGCCCCCGACCCCCAAACCAGGACAGGAAAGGAUGCUCUUGGGCCAGAGGUUGGUGGUUCCUGGGGUGGUAGGUGAGCAUGGGGACCCAGUAGUGGGUGGCCUACAGUUGCCUUCUGCCAGAACCUGGGAGUACAUCCCUCUAGUCUCCAGGCCCCCAGCCUAAUGGGGAGGACUUUCAGGGAUACUGAGGAGGCCCAAAGGUCCAGGUAAGGCGGCUUCCACCUCGCCUUCAAUGACUGGUCCCAGGGACCUCUAGUGUGUUGCAUUUUCAAUUUUUCUUCCUUCCUUCCUUCCUUCCUUCCUUCCUUCCUUCCUUCCUUCCUUCCUUCCUUCCUUCCUUCUUUCCGUUCUUUCUUUUGUUUUUGUUUGUUUGUUUGUUUUGUUUUGAGACCAGGUCUCACUCUGUAAUUCAAGCUGGCCUAGAACGCAGUACAAUCCACCUGUCUCAGCCUACUGAAUGUUAGUGUCACCUGCCUAAGGCAUCCUGCUCUGUUGACAUGUCCCCUGACUCCUCACAGGACUCUGCUGCUGUUCUCUCUCUGCCUUCUGCCCGGGUGGAGCAAGUUCCCAGGAAACACCAGAAACCCACCAGACCGAUUGAUUCUAGAGGGAUCAGCCCCAAGACAGGAAGGUUGCAGAGCAUGUCCUCCAGCACUGAGUACGGCCUCCCCUGUGUACCCAACCCUACCAAGGAGCCUUCCCAAUUCUUGAUAGCCUGAAUGGGGAGGGCUUGGAUACAUGUAAAGUUUGACAAAGUAUUGUUUUAUAAACAUAAGAGAAAUGGUGGAAAAAUAAGCGGAGAAGAGAUCCUGUAGACCAUUGAUUUGUAGGCUUAUUGAUUUGGGUUGGAGUCUCUGGGCAUCUCAGGCUGCCCAAAACCAGGGGGACUAGGGCAUCCAUGGACACCACUGCCACGGGGAGGCCAGCGUGAUAGAAAAUGCAUGGACAAGGCGGGCUCUCAGCGUGUAGCAGGACCUGGCUCCCUGUAGAUGCUCAGGAUGUCUACUGAAGGGCUGCAGGGGUCCUGGGAAGGAGGGUUGGUAGGGCUGGUAGCCAGAGACAAGUCUCUGCCAAAGGACCCUCCCCAUUUCUGGGGAGCUGCCCUGGGCUUUCCCAGGCUUCUCUCCCCUUUCCACACACACGUGGGCUCUUUUCCUCACCUGCCCACGCACACUAGUACACACAGGUGCCAGACAUCCACCCUUAGAUUCACAAGUGCCUGACUCCGCUCAAGCACAGGGCAUUCUCCAGCUCCACAGCUGUGGUCCAGGUGAACCCUGGAUGGUUCAUCGGGACUCAGUACCUGACCUCCAGGCUGCAGAACUUGAAGAACCCUGGGCUAGGCACACAGGGCAGAGUGAGUGAGUCUAAGGGUCUUUCCUUCUGUCCUUUCAGGAUCUGAUUUUGUCCUAGAACUUGACUGGCCUGUCAGAUUGUUUCCUGUCCUUCCUAAUUUGCCCUCUCCAUCUGUAUUUUUUCCGGGUUUGCCCUCAGAAUGCCACACAGACUCCAUGUUAUUCACAAGGGCAGCUGGCCACCCCGCAUAAAGUCCCUAAGCACUCAAAAUUCAGAAUAUCACACACCCUGGAUUUAAAGAUUUGGAAUGAGAAAGAGCUCACUGACUGUGUGUGAUGUUGGCUACAGAAAUGGCUGUGCGUGAGAUAUGUUGAAUUAAAUAAAAGGCAUUAUUAAAGUGAGCGUCACUGGCCACUGCACUUGGAAGUCAAUGUGGCUUUGCUAACUCCCCUUCACUGGCUCUGUAUCCUUUGCUGCUUCCUUUGGUCUUCCCAGGAUCCUCUAGGAAAUGGAAAAGGAAGAAGUGGGGAAAAGGCCUGGGCCUGAAACCCAGCAGGGGGCAGCUGGAGUCCCUCCCAGUUCUUUUCAAAGUUAUUCUUACAACAAUCAAAGCUUCCUUGUUUUCAGGACCAGGCAAAAGAGCCUCAUAUUCAUUGCUUAAAUCAUAUUCUUUCUAUUUUAGCUUUAAUUCAGUUUAGUUACGUUGUGAUCUCCGCCAGCAAUCCAUGAACCCUGCAGCAACUUUUGAAGAAUCUUGCUGCUAAUGCUGCAUGGUGGAGGAAUAUUGAUUGUCGGAGUCACUCUGUGGGUUCUAUGGCGUUAUAAGGAACCCCUCUGCUAUUUCCAAACUUCUAGUCAGCAGUUGAUACUUCUGGCUUUAAUUUUUUCCUGCAAAUGUAUCACCAGGUCUAACUCAAAUAAAACAAGAAUUCUGAACAGCAA